AUACAAAACAGUAAACCCAACACAGAAAACAUACCAAUCUGGUAAAUCACUGAUUCUGUAGAUCUGUUUAAGAUUACUAGCAUUGUUCUGAACUUGGGUAGGUAAUUUAGUAGGAGCUACAAUGUCAUCCCUUUUUCAGAGUCAGUUGGAAUAUCUAUGAUUAUGGUAUUAGACUUUUCCAUAAUUGUUACUUAGCUAUACAAACAGAGAAAAACAGAGAAUUUUUUUUUUAUAUAUAUAAUUCAAGAAAAUCAAGCAUUAAUAAUUUAAUAAUUUACUAGAAUAGUUAAAAAAUUAAAAUGGAGAAAAAGGAUAUCUUACCGAUAAUAAAAAUCUGGUAAAUCACUGAUUCUGUAGAUCUGUUUGAUGAUCACCUCUUUAGAUUUCUUCAUUUUCUUUUUCAAUGGAAUAAAAAGGAUAAUUGUAGUAAUUGUUUCUUCUUCCAUUUGUUUCUCUGUAAAUCAGGGAAAGCUCUCUUCAGUCCUCACAGAAACCCUAAAGACAGCCGCGUUGAGAUCAUUUUCAGCUUAAAUAUCAAAGUUAUGGGCCUGACUAACUAAUAUUACCC
This 568-nucleotide long non-coding RNA is filed under the name Aquilegia coerulea. RNAcentral describes it as "long non-coding RNA (ACOE_LNC002008)". Lineage: Eukaryota; Viridiplantae; Streptophyta; Magnoliopsida; Ranunculales; Ranunculaceae. The record is from RNAcentral.